GACGAACGCUGGCGGCGUGCUUAGCACAUGCAAGUCGAACGGAAAGGCCCUGCUCUUGUGGGGUGCUCGAGUGGCGAACGGGUGAGUAACACGUGAGUAACCUGCCCUUGACUUUGGGAUAACUUCAGGAAACUGGGGCUAAUACCGGAUAGGAGCUCCUGCUGCAUGGUGGGGGUUGGAAAGUUUCGGCGGUUGGGGAUGGACUCGCGGCUUAUCAGCUUGUUGGUGGGGUAGUGGCUUACCAAGGCUUUGACGGGUAGCCGGCCUGAGAGGGUGACCGGCCACAUUGGGACUGAGAUACGGCCCAGACUCCUACGGGAGGCAGCAGUGGGGAAUAUUGCACAAUGGGCGGAAGCCUGAUGCAGCAACGCCGCGUGCGGGAUGACGGCCUUCGGGUUGUAAACCGCUUUCGCCUGUGACGAAGCGUGAGUGACGGUAAUGGGUAAAGAAGCACCGGCUAACUACGUG
Molecule: ribosomal RNA, 468 nt
Filed under: uncultured bacterium
Lineage: Bacteria
Description: partial 16S ribosomal RNA
Rfam family: Bacterial small subunit ribosomal RNA
Source: RNAcentral